Molecule: ribosomal RNA, 529 nt
Filed under: Pichia occidentalis
Lineage: Eukaryota; Fungi; Ascomycota; Pichiomycetes; Pichiales; Pichiaceae
Description: partial small subunit ribosomal RNA
Rfam family: Bacterial small subunit ribosomal RNA
Source: RNAcentral
GAAUAUUAGUCAAUGAUCGAAAGAUUGAUCUAGUUACUUAGAAAGAUGAAGAUUAUAAUAAUAAUAAUAAAAAAUAAUAAUGAAGAAUAUAAAAUCAAUAUAUAUAUAAAAGAAUAAUGAUGAAAAUAUAUAUAGAAGUCUUAACCAAAAUUAGUGCCAGCAGUUGCGGCUAAACUAAGGAGGCAAACGUUAAUCAUUAAUGGCUUAAAGGAUCCGUAGAAUGAUAUGUAAUUAAUACAUAUUAGAGUUAAAUAAAAUAAUUAUGAAAAAUUAUAUUGAGAGAUGAAAUGUGUGGAAAAUAAUUAGACAAAUAAACGUGAAAAUAAAAUUAUAAAAUUUAACUGACAUUGAGGGAUGAAGGCAUGAGUAGCAAAACGGAUUAGAUACCCGAGUAGUUCAUGCAGUAAACGAUGAAUACUUCGAAAGAAAAGCGAAAGCUAAAGUAUUCCGCCAGGAGAGUAUAGCUUCAAAGUUGAAAUCCAAGACAAUAGACGGUUACAGUUGUAGGCAGUGGAUUGUGUUAUUUAAU